RNAcentral lists this non-coding RNA (92 nucleotides) under Neobacillus jeddahensis. RNAcentral's name for it is "TPP riboswitch (THI element)". It matches the Rfam family "TPP riboswitch aptamer (THI element)", at positions 6 to 96 of the family's 105-position model. Rfam says of the family: Vitamin B(1) in its active form thiamin pyrophosphate (TPP) is an essential coenzyme that is synthesised by coupling of pyrimidine and thiazole moieties in bacteria. The record is from RNAcentral. Lineage: Bacteria; Bacillati; Bacillota; Bacilli; Caryophanales; Bacillaceae.
CCACUAGGGGAGCCAUUAUAUGGCUGAGACGGGAAAAAUCUUGGACCCUUUGAACCUGAUCUAGUUCAUACUAGCGUAGGAAAGUGGAGACC